CCUACGGGAGGCAGCAGUAGGGAAUAUUGCUCAAUGGGGGAAACCCUGAAGCAGCAACGCCGCGUGGAGGAUGAUGGUUUUCGGAUUGUAAACUCCUUUUGUUAGAGAAGAUAAUGACGGUAUCUAACGAAUAAGCACCGGCUAACUCCGUGCCAGCAGCCGCGGGAAUACGGCGGGUGCAAGCGUUACUCGGAAUCACUGGGCGUAAAGAGCGCGUAGGCGGGAUAGCAAGUCAGAUGUGAAAUCCUAUGGCUUAACCAUAGAACUGCAUUUGAAACUGUUAUUCUAGAGUAUGGGAGAGGUAGGUGGAAUUCUUGGUGUAGGGGUAAAAUCCGUAGAGAUCAAGAAGAAUACUCAUUGCGAAGGCGACCUGCUAGAACAUAACUGACGCUGAUGCGCGAAAGCGUGGGGAGCAAACAGGAUUAGAUACCUCAGUAGUC
Molecule: ribosomal RNA, 440 nt
Filed under: uncultured bacterium
Lineage: Bacteria
Description: partial 16S ribosomal RNA
Rfam family: Bacterial small subunit ribosomal RNA
Source: RNAcentral